AACUAUGUGCCAGCAGCUGCGGUAAUACAUAGGUCGCGAGCGUUAUUCGGAUUUAUUGGGCGUAAAGCAAGCGCAGGCGGACAGAUAAGUUUUGUGUUAAAAGCAGUUGCUCAACAAUUGUUUGCGCUGAAUACUGUCUGUCUAGAAUACGGUAGGAAGUUUUGGAAUUGAAUAUGGAGCGGUGGAAUGUGUAGAUAUAUUCAAGAACACCAGAGGCGAAGGCGAAAACUUAGGCCGCUAUUGACGCUUAGGCUUGAAAGUGUGGGGAGCAAAUGGGAUUAGAUACCCCAGUAGUCCACACUGUAAACGAUGGAUAUUAGAUGUUGGGGCUUGUGCCUCAGCGUUGUAGCUUACGUAUUAAAUAUCCCGCCUGGGUAGUACAUAUGCAAAUAUGAAACUCAAAGGAAUUGACGGGGACCUGAACAAGUGGUGGAACAUGUUGCUUAAUUCGAUAAUACACGAAAAACCUUACCAAGGUUUGACAUCCCCCGCGAAGCUAUAGAAAUAUAGUGGAGGUUAUCGGGGUGACAGGUGGUGCAUGGCUGUCGUCAGCUCGUGUCAUGAGAUGUUUGGUUAAGUCCCGCAACGAGCGCAACCCUACUCUUUAGUUAAUUGUCUAAAGAGACUGAACAGUAAUGUAUAGGAAGGUUGGGAUCACGUCAAGUCAUCAUGCCCCUUAUGCCUUGGGCCGCAAACGUGUUACAAUGGCGAGUACAACGUGCCGCAAACCAGCGAUGGUAAGCUAAUCACUAAAAGCUCGUCUCAGUCCGGAUAAAAGGCUGCAAUUCGCCUUUUUGAAGUUGGAAUCACUAGUAAUCCCGUGUCAGCUAUAUCGGGGUGAAUACGUUCCCAGGUCUUGUACAC
RNAcentral lists this ribosomal RNA (864 nucleotides) under uncultured Mycoplasma sp. Its description in RNAcentral is "bacterial SSU rRNA". It matches the Rfam family "Bacterial small subunit ribosomal RNA", at positions 499 to 1388 of the family's 1533-position model. The record is from RNAcentral. Lineage: Bacteria; Bacillati; Mycoplasmatota; Mollicutes; Mycoplasmatales; Mycoplasmataceae.